Molecule: long non-coding RNA, 1992 nt
Organism: Bombus impatiens (common eastern bumble bee)
Lineage: Eukaryota; Metazoa; Arthropoda; Insecta; Hymenoptera; Apidae
Exons: 2
Source: RefSeq, a predicted model, not a curated record
GGCCCGCCAAUGAACCCGCAAGCGCUCGUUCCUGCGUACUGAAUCUAAAAUCGCUAUGCUGCAGUCGGUGUAUCGGCGCGCCGAGACGAGACGGACGGGACGAGACGAGCGACGGCAGCGACGAGGAGGUGGAGGAAGAGGCGGUGGAAGUCGGUGUGUGCGCUCAUGACGGAGACCUCGUGCGUACCACUCAGUCGCGUCGUCGAGCGGAGCCGAGUCGAGUCGUGUUACGGCCGCAAUCGUGGUUGUUCUUCGCAACAGUUUGCCCCGUGACGACGUCAGUAUCUGUGCGCGAAGACAAAAACGUCCACCAGUAGAAGAAUUUGAAACAGUUUGAAGUCGAAGUGUAACGUCGCGGUGAGACUCUGAAUUUGAUUUUUUCCCUUUGCUGCAUCAAUUAACUUUUUUUUACCGUACCGAAAGUUUUAAACGUGCAACCGAAGCGCUACUCUCGUUCGACCUCUCUCGCCCUCCGCGAGUUAUAUAUCCGAUCUACGUGCGCUAGCCCUCCCUACUCUCUUUUUCUUCAUGUGUAUUUUGCUCUCUCCUCUGUCUGUCUGUCUUGCUCACGCGUUAUCCCUCCCCGUUGGUGUCUCACUCGUUCUCGCUGGCUUUCCGGGCAGCGAUUUCAAGAAUGUGACAGUGCGCGUCCUCGCGGUCGCCUCGCGCGAAUAAGCCCGCAGGCCGGCGACGGCGAUGGGUGACGAGCGACAAGUGUUACGGUGAACAGUGUGAGCAACAGUGAAGAAGUAGACGGGAGAGAAAGACGGACGAUGCAAGCGGAAAAUGUCACUCGGUGAUACGCGUAUACGGAUGACGGGGAGUGAUCGACGCGACAAUCUCGGAUUUGAGGUUAAAGUGUCGUCGUCGUCGUCGUUGUUGUUAUGUGGUGCCGGUGCGCCGGCAUUGGCGACGGCACGAGCAAAGGAAUAUCAAGAAAGAAAACGACACUAUCGUAUUCUACAGGGCUUAACCGCCCGAGAUUCGAGGGACAUUGAUCAACCGUCCUGGCCUAACGUUACCAGACUCGUCUCGUAAGAGAAACGUAAACGACCAGAGAAAAAAGUCAGAGAGAGGGAGAGAGAGAGAGAGAGAGAGAUUCGCAGCGAUAGAAAACAAUUUUUCGUAAGGCGAAUCGCGCCGAUAUACGUAUUAUAUACGUGCGCGUGUGUGUGUUUGUGGUUGAGUGCCGGGUCGCGAGGUUAAGACACCACAUCGCUGUCGAUAUACACAUCGUGGAAAGUCAAGAACCGGUGUCGUGUGUGCGCGCGCGACCGAUUCGUGCUCUGCUACGGCCAACGGAUAAGAAGUGUAUCAUGAUACUAAUAGUGCGCGUCCGUAACCCCGCUGGCGACCGUUGCACCGUGUACGUCUCUUAGGACAACGAAAGCUGACAACGUUCGCGAACUGUCGAGACAGCACAGGAAUCUCUCGUGCCUUUUUUCGCUUAUAUACCGUACGCCACGUUCUUUCGUCGUUGAACAAAUUAUCGAGUAUCUUUCGUCUAUCGAGGGCGAUAAUACGAUUUGACCACUAAAACACGACACGCAGAUUUUCUCUAGUGUCCUCGCUAAAGUGUCAUUUACUAGCGAACGACGUAAAUAACGUGGUAACAUUCGAGUAACGAAACAAUAACAACGGGGCGUGUAUAACAGAAUCGUUCGAAGGAGAGUAUCGCGAGAAUGAAGUGGCGCUUCAGCUGAUCGAGAUCGUCGCAACGAAUUGGCGUGUGCUCGCGUACAUGUAAACGGAUCGCGCGCGCGCACGCUGUUCGCGUCACCAAUCAGCCGGCCAGUUUGUGUAUACAUACCGUGGCACAUAGGUAAAUGAGAGUUCAAGGUCGGUAAACGGUAUUCGACCUAACCUCGUUUACUGGUUCGAAAAAGUUAUCGACACGAAGAGGAAGAGACUGAAGCUGCUAUCCUUCGUUAUUCUACUUCGACCUACCUUGUUGCUUGCCACGCGCUAUUCUCGAUUGAUAAUAUUAAUUUU